Molecule: non-coding RNA, 349 nt
Organism: Pelobates cultripes (western spadefoot toad)
Lineage: Eukaryota; Metazoa; Chordata; Amphibia; Anura; Pelobatidae
Source: the annotation of a GenBank genome assembly
AAAAUGUGCAGUUUUACUGUAUUGGGGGGCUCUGAAAACCAGUCAGUAUCUGGUGUGACGACCAUUUGCCUCAUGUAGUGCAACACCUCUCCUUCGCCUAAAGUUGAUCAGGUUGUUGAUUGUGGCCUGUCCACUCCUCUUCAAUGGCUUAUUGUGGAUAUUGGCAGAACCUGGAACACGCUGUUGUAAACGCCGAUCCAGAGCAUCCCAAACAUGUUCAAUGGGUGACUUGUCUGGUGAGUAUGCUGGCCAUGCAAGAACUGGGAUGUUUUCAGCUUGCAGGAAUUGUGUACAGAUCCUUGCAACAUGGGGCCAUGCAUUAUCAUGCUGCAACAUGAGGGGAUGGUUG